Aeromicrobium marinum DSM 15272 is the source of this 46-nucleotide regulatory RNA element. It matches the Rfam family "L31-Actinobacteria ribosomal protein leader". Lineage: Bacteria; Bacillati; Actinomycetota; Actinomycetes; Propionibacteriales; Nocardioidaceae. The record is from Rfam.
UUGGCUCUGGUUCACGGUGCGCAGCCGCGCAGCCGACCCAGCGGCC